This 496-nucleotide ribosomal RNA is filed under the name uncultured bacterium. RNAcentral describes it as "partial 16S ribosomal RNA". It matches the Rfam family "Bacterial small subunit ribosomal RNA", at positions 28 to 507 of the family's 1533-position model. The record is from RNAcentral.
GAUGAACGCUGGCGGCGUGCCUAAUACAUGCAAGUCGAGCGAACGGACGAGAAGCUUGCUUCUCUGAUGUUAGCGGCGGACGGGUGAGUAACACGUGGAUAACCUACCUAUAAGACUGGGAUAACUUCGGGAAACCGGAGCUAAUACCGGAUAAUAUUUUGAACCGCAUGGUUCAAAAGUGAAAGACGGUCUUGCUGUCACUUAUAGAUGGAUCCGCGCUGCAUUAGCUAGUUGGUAAGGUAACGGCUUACCAAGGCAACGAUGCAUAGCCGACCUGAGAGGGGGAUCGGCCACACGGGAACUGAGACACGGUCCAGACUCUACGGGAGGCAGCAGUAGGGAAUCUUCCGCAAUGGGCGAAAGCCUGACGGAGCAACGCCGCGUGAGUGAUGAAGGUCUUCGGAUCGUAAAACUCUGUUAUUAGGGAAGAACAUAUGUGUAAGUAACUGUGCACAUCUUGACGGUACCUAAUCAGAAAGCCACGGCUAACUACGUG